AAGGAUUCACCUUCCUUGGCGCGAAUCCACCGUUGGAUCGCACAAGCUGCGCAGACGGAGAGUUCGGAGUGCCUUGAGAUCUAUGCGGGGCGCGGUGAACGUCGCGAAAGAAAUCGCUCGUUCUUUCGCGCGAAAGAUACAAUCCGAAACCAGGGGAGGGGAUGGCCGUACGAUCGCACCAUGGGGGUUUUCUUUUUUAAAUUUAUUUAUUUGAAUGGAAAGAUCGGGCUGUCGGGUUGACGGAAUCUCUCGGCGACGUUGGGAUGCCGUGGAUGCAAAGGAAGGCGCUUCUUUCCUAAGAAGUGGUGUGAUAGGUUUGUUUUUAUUAAUUUAUGAUAAUUUGAGGAUAACACAAGAG
RNAcentral lists this long non-coding RNA (358 nucleotides) under Elaeis guineensis (African oil palm). RNAcentral's name for it is "long non-coding RNA (EGUI_LNC011755)". Lineage: Eukaryota; Viridiplantae; Streptophyta; Magnoliopsida; Arecales; Arecaceae. The record is from RNAcentral.